UUGGCGGACGGGUGAGAAACGCGUAGGAAUGUAUCCAGAGGUGGGGGACAACCCCGGGAAACUGGGGCUAAUACCGCAUAUGUCCUGAGGGACAAAGCAGUAAUGCGCCUUUGGAGCAGCCUGCGUCCGAUUAGGUAGUUGGUGGGGUAAAGGCCUACCAAGCCUGCGAUCGGUAGCUGGUCUGAGAGGACGAUCAGCCACACUGGGACUGAGACACGGCCCAGACUCCUACGGGAGGCAGCAGUGGGGAAUAUUGGACAAUGGGCGAAAGCCUGAUCCAGCAAUGCCGCGUGUGUGAAGAAGGUCUUCGGAUCGUAAAGCACUUUCGACAGGGACGAUGAUGACGGUACCUGUAGAAGAAGCCCCGGCCAACUUCGUGCCAGCAGCCGCGGUAAU
Molecule: ribosomal RNA, 396 nt
Filed under: uncultured Roseomonas sp.
Lineage: Bacteria; Pseudomonadati; Pseudomonadota; Alphaproteobacteria; Acetobacterales; Roseomonadaceae
Description: bacterial SSU rRNA
Rfam family: Bacterial small subunit ribosomal RNA
Source: RNAcentral